AGAGUUUGAUCAUGGCUCAGGAUGAACGCUGGCGGCGUGCCUAAUACAUGCAAGUCGAGCGAACGGACGAGAAGCUUGCUUCUCUGAUGUUAGCGGCGGACGGGUGAGUAACACGUGGAUAACCUACCUAUAAGACUGGGAUAACUUCGGGAAACCGGAGCUAAUACCGGAUAAUAUUUUGAACCGCAUGGUUCAAAAGUGAAAGACGGUCUUGCUGUCACUUAUAGAUGGAUCCGCGCUGCAUUAGCUAGUUGGUAAGGUAACGGCUUACCAAGGCAACGAUGCAUAGCCGACCUGAGAGGGUGAUCGGCCACACUGGAACUGAGACACGGUCCAGACUCCUACGGGAGGCAGCAGUAGGGAAUCUUCCGCAAUGGGCGAAAGCCUGACGGAGCAACGCCGCGUGAGUGAUGAAGGUCUUCGGAUCGUAAAACUCUGUUAUUAGGGAAGAACAUAUGUAUAAGUAACUGUGCGCAUCUUGACGGUACCUAAUCAGAAAGCCACGGCUAACUACGUGCCAGCAGCCGCGGUAAUACGUAGGUGGCAAGCGUUAUCCGGAAUUAUUGGGCGUAAGGCGCGCGUAGGCGGUUUCUUAAGUCUGAUGUGAAAGCCCACGGCUCAACCGUGGAGGGUCAUUGGAAACUGGAAAACUUGAGUGCAGAAGAGGAAAGUGGAAUUCCAUGUGUAGCGGUGAAAUGCGCAGAGAUAUGGAGGAACACCAGUGGCGAAGGCGACUUUCUGGUCUGUAACUGACGCUGAUGUGCGAAAGCGUGGGGAUCAAACAGGAUUAGAUACCCUGGUAGUCC
This 806-nucleotide ribosomal RNA is filed under the name uncultured bacterium. Its description in RNAcentral is "bacterial SSU rRNA". It matches the Rfam family "Bacterial small subunit ribosomal RNA", at positions 8 to 796 of the family's 1533-position model. The record is from RNAcentral.